Molecule: ribosomal RNA, 441 nt
Filed under: uncultured bacterium
Lineage: Bacteria
Description: partial 16S ribosomal RNA
Rfam family: Bacterial small subunit ribosomal RNA
Source: RNAcentral
CCUACGGGUGGCUGCAGUAGGGAAUUUUGCGCAAUGGGGGAAACCCUGACGCAGCAACGCCGCGUGAUCGAUGAAGCCCUUCGGGGUGUAAAGAUCUGUCAGUGGGGACGAAACCUGACGGUACCCACAGAGGAAGCAUCGGCUAACUGCGUGCCAGCAGCCGCGGUAAUACGGGGGGUGCAAGCGUUGUCCGGAAUCAUUGGGCGUAAAGAGUUCGUAGGGGGCUCGUUAAGUCGGGGGUUAAAGGCCGACGCAUAACUUGCGUAGGGCCCUGGAAACUGGCGGGCUGGAAUGCGGGAGAGGUAAGGGGAAUGCGUGGUGUAGCGGUGAAAUGCGUAGAUAUCAGGAGGAACAUCGGUGGCGUAGGCGCUUUUCUGGGCCGUAAUUGACGCUGAGGAACGAAAGCCGGGGUAGCAAAUAGGAUUAGAUACCCUGGUAGUC